This 680-nucleotide ribosomal RNA is filed under the name bacterium SCSIO13271. RNAcentral describes it as "bacterial SSU rRNA". It matches the Rfam family "Bacterial small subunit ribosomal RNA", at positions 56 to 754 of the family's 1533-position model. The record is from RNAcentral.
UGCAGUCGACGAUGAACCACUUCGGUGGGGAUUAGUGGCGAACGGGUGAGUAACACGUGGGCAAUCUGCCCUGCACUCUGGGACAAGCCCUGGAAACGGGGUCUAAUACCGGAUAUUGACCUUCACGGGCAUCUGUGAGGUUCGAAAGCUCCGGCGGUGCAGGAUGAGCCCGCGGCCUAUCAGCUUGUUGGUGAGGUAAUGGCUCACCAAGGCGACGACGGGUAGCCGGCCUGAGAGGGCGACCGGCCACACUGGGACUGAGACACGGCCCAGACUCCUACGGGAGGCAGCAGUGGGGAAUAUUGCACAAUGGGCGAAAGCCUGAUGCAGCGACGCCGCGUGAGGGAUGACGGCCUUCGGGUUGUAAACCUCUUUCAGCAGGGAAGAAGCGAAAGUGACGGUACCUGCAGAAGAAGCGCCGGCUAACUACGUGCCAGCAGCCGCGGUAAUACGUAGGGCGCAAGCGUUGUCCGGAAUUAUUGGGCGUAAAGAGCUCGUAGGCGGCUUGUCACGUCGGUUGUGAAAGCCCGGGGCUUAACCCCGGGUCUGCAGUCGAUACGGGCAGGCUAGAGUUCGGUAGGGGAGAUCGGAAUUCCUGGUGUAGCGGUGAAAUGCGCAGAUAUCAGGAGGAACACCGGUGGCGAAGGCGGAUCUCUGGGCCGAUACUGACGCUGAGGAGC